GUCAGCAGCCAUAUCACCCUGCAACUCACAACUGGCAACCCCCUGAACCUAAGCAGGUGUGAGCCUGGUCAGUACCUGGAUGGGGGGACCUUCUGGGAAAAACAAAGUUGCUGCUGGAA
RNAcentral lists this ribosomal RNA (119 nucleotides) under Lepisosteus oculatus (spotted gar). The record is from RNAcentral. Lineage: Eukaryota; Metazoa; Chordata; Actinopteri; Semionotiformes; Lepisosteidae.